CAAUCGAACCCGGAGAUAGCUGGUUCUCCCCGAAAUAGCUUUAGGGCUAGCGUCGCAGCGAGAGAGCCGUGAAGGUAGAGCACUGAAUAUGCGAUGGCCGCAUCCCGCGGUACUGAGCAUAAUCAAACUCCGAAUGUCACGGUGUCAUCUGCGGCAGUCAGACGGCGAGUGAUAAGGUCCGUCGUCAAGAGGGAAACAGCCCAGACCAUCAGCUAAGGUCCCAAAGUGCAUGCUAAGUGGAAAAGGAAGUGGAGACGUGCAGACAACUAGGAGGUUGGCUCAGAAGCAGCCAUCCUUCAAAGAGUGCGUAACAGCUCACUAGUCGAAUGACUCUGCGCCGAUAAUUUACCGGGGCUAAGCAUGACACCGAAGCUAUGGACAGGAAUGUGGUAGGGGAGCAUUGCAUGCAGCGGAGAAGCAUGACCGUAAGGGCAUGUGGAGCGCAUGGAAGAGAGAAUGCCGGCGUGAGUAGCGGCACGUGGGUGAGAAUCCCACGCACCGAUGGCCCAAGGUCUCCAGAGGAAGGCUCGUCCUCUCUGGGAUAGUCGGGACCUAAGGCGAGGCCGAAAGGCGUAGCCGAUGGACGACGGGUGGAUAUUCCCGUACCCGAUGUGUGGCGAUGGAGUGACGGAGAAGGCUCAGGCAACCAGCUGCUGGAAUAGCUGGGGCAAGCGAGAUACCUGCGCACCAGGGAAAUCCGGUGCGCAUAAGGGGAAGGCGCGAAGCAUACGGAAAGCUGCGGCAAGUACGGAAUAGCUGAGAGCAGGCUUCCAGGAAAAGCUUCUAGCACAACACGCAUCGGCCCGUACCGAAAAUGGACACACAUGGGCAAGGAGAGAAUCCUGAGGUGAGCGAGAGAACUAUAGCUAAGGAACUCUGCAAAAUGACCCCGUAACCUAGGGAGAAGGGGUGCUCCAGAAAUGGAGCCGCAGUAAAACGGCCCAAGCGACUGUUUACCAAAAACACAGCUCUCUGCGAAGGCGCAAGCCGAAGUAUAGGGGGUGACGCCUGCCCGGUGCUGGAAGGUCAAGGGGAGCUGUCAGCGCAAGCGAAGCAGCGAGCCGAAGCCCCAGUAAACGGCGGCCGUAACUAUAACGGUCCUAAGGUAGCGAAAUUCCUUGUCGGGCAAGUUCCGACCCGCACGAAAGGCGUAACGAUUUGGGCGCUGUCUCAGCUGUAGACUCGGUGAAGUCUUAGUACCUGUGAAGAUGCAGGUUGCCCGCGACUAGACGGAAAGACCCCAUGGAGCUUCACUGCAGGUUGACAUUGGGCUUGGAUGCAUGAUGUACAGGAUAGGUGGGAGGCUGAGAGCCGUGCGCGCCAGCGUACGGGGAGCCGCUGUUGGGAUACCACCCUUCAUGCAUCUAGGUCCUAACCGGAGGCAACGGGCCACGGGACAGUGUCAGUCGGGCAGUUUGACUGGGGCGGUCGCCUCCCAAAGAGUAACGGAGGCGCCCAAAGAUACCCUCAGCAUGGAUGGAAACCAUGCAUAGAGUGCAAAGGCAUAAGGGUGUCUGACUGCGAGACAUACAGGUCGAGCAGGGACGAAAGUCGGGCUUAGUGAUCCGGCGGAUCCGAAUGGAAGGGCCGUCGCUCAACGGAUAAAAGCUACCCUGGGGAUAACAGGCUGAUCUCCCCCAAGAGUUCACAUCGACGGGGAGGUUUGGCACCUCGAUGUCGGCUCAUCGCAUCCUGGAGCUGAAGUCGGUUCCAAGGGUUGGGCUGUUCGCCCAUUAAAGCGGUACGCGAGCUGGGUUCAGAACGUCGUGAGACAGUUCGGUCCCUAUCUGUCGUGGGCGCAGGAGGUUUGAGGAGAGCUGCCCCUAGUACGAGAGGACCGGGGUGGACGGACCGAUGGUGCACCAGUUGUCACGCCAGUGGCACAGCUGGGCAGCCAAGUCCGGACGGGAUAAGCGCUGAAGGCAUCUAAGCGUGAAGCCCCCUCCAAGAUGAGACCUCCCAUUGGCGACAAGUAAGGCCCCUCGAAGACGACGAGGUUGAUAGGCCGCGAGUGCAAGCGCAGCGAUGUGCUUAGCGGGGCGGUACUAAUAGGCCGAGGACUUGGCCAA
This 2069-nucleotide ribosomal RNA is filed under the name human gut metagenome. RNAcentral's name for it is "bacterial LSU rRNA". It matches the Rfam family "Bacterial large subunit ribosomal RNA", at positions 830 to 2925 of the family's 2925-position model. The record is from RNAcentral.